RNAcentral lists this ribosomal RNA (493 nucleotides) under uncultured Glomus. Its description in RNAcentral is "SSU rRNA". It matches the Rfam family "Eukaryotic small subunit ribosomal RNA", at positions 569 to 1068 of the family's 1831-position model. Lineage: Eukaryota; Fungi; Glomeromycota; Glomeromycetes; Glomerales; Glomeraceae. The record is from RNAcentral.
AGCAGCCGCGGUAAUUCCAGCUCCAAUAGCGUAUAUUAAAGUUGUUGCAGUUAAAAAGCUCGUAGUUGAAUUUCGGGAUCAAUAUGUCGGUCGUGCCUUGGUACGUACUGGUAUCAUUGGUCUCUCCUUUCUGACGAACCAUGAUGUCAUUAAUUUGGUGUUAUGGGAAGUUAGGACUGUUACUUUGAAAAAUUAGAGUGUUUAAAGCAGGCUUUAGCUUGAAUACAUUAGCAUGGAAUAAUGAAAUAGGACGUUCGAACCUAUUUUGUUGGUUUCUAGGAUCAACGUAAUGAUUAAUAGGGAUAGUUGGGGGCAUUAGUAUUCAAUUGUCAGAGGUGAAAUUCUUGGAUUUAUUGAAGACUAACUACUGCGAAAGCAUUUGCCAAGGAUGUUUUCAUUAAUCAAGAACGAAAGUUAGGGGAUCGAAGACGAUCAGAUACCGUCGUAGUCUUAACCAUAAACUAUGCCGACUAGGGAUCGGAUGAUGUUAAUU